RNAcentral lists this ribosomal RNA (301 nucleotides) under uncultured bacterium. RNAcentral's name for it is "partial 16S ribosomal RNA". It matches the Rfam family "Bacterial small subunit ribosomal RNA", at positions 509 to 807 of the family's 1533-position model. The record is from RNAcentral.
CAGUCGCCGCGGUAAUACGUAGGUGGCAAGCGUUGUCCGGAAUUAUUGGGCGUAAAGGGCUCGCAGGCGGUUUCUUAAGUCUGAUGUGAAAGCCCCCGGCUCAACCGGGGAGGGUCAUUGGAAACUGGGAAACUUGAGUGCAGAAGAGGAGAGUGGAAUUCCAUGUGUAGCGGUGAAAUGCGUAGAGAUGUGGAGGAACACCAGUGGCGAAGGCGACUCUCUGGUCUGUAACUGACGCUGAGGAGCGAAAGCGUGGGGAUCGAACAGGAUUAGAUACCCCCGUAGUCCCUGUCUCUUAUAC